AUGGAAACACACCUGCUGCUGAUUUUAAUUUUGACUUCAGGUGUGAUGACUGCAGACCAGAUUAGACCAAAUCAAGAAACUAGUGUCAUAAAGGAAGAGGAGACUGUGACCCUCAGCUGCACAUAUGAUACAAGCAGCAGUUAUGUUUAUCUGUACUGGUACAGACAGUAUCCUAAUAAAGAGCUUCGCUAUUUGUUAUUCAAGCCUGCACGAUCAGGUAGUGCAAGUGGGAGUCCCGAUGAUCCUCGCUUUCAGUCGACUACAUCACAGACAUCCACUAAACUCACUAUUACUGGUGUAACUCUGUCAGAUUCAGCUCUCUAUUAUUGUGCUCUUAAGAGGUGUAAAUCUGAGGAUGCUGUCCACCAGAAUAUGAGAGUUCAAACAGCAGAUGAAUGUGCAGCAGCUGCAAUAAUCAAUUGCACGUAUACAGGCAUUGAUCCAUCGCCAACUCUCUUCUGGUAUCAGCAACAAGCGUGA
Non-coding RNA from Sinocyclocheilus grahami, 480 nucleotides. NCBI's taxonomy places the organism in Eukaryota, Metazoa, Chordata, Actinopteri, Cypriniformes, Cyprinidae. The record is from the annotation of a RefSeq genome assembly.